AUUGAACGCUGGCGGCAGGCCUAACACAUGCAAGUCGAGCGAGCGGCGGACGGGUGAGUAAUGCCUGGGAAUUGCCCAGUCGACGGGGAUAACAGUUGGAAACGACUGCUAAUACCGCAUACGAUUGGAUUGACCAGGCGGGAUUAGCUAGUGGGUGAGGUAAUGGCUCACAAAGGUGACGAUCCCUAGCUGGUCUGAGAGGAUGAUCAGCCACACUGGAACUGAGACCCGGUCCAGACGCCUACGGGAGGCAGCAUGGGGGAAUAUUGCACAAUGGGGGAAACCCUGAUGCAGCCAUGCCGCGUGUGUGAAGACGGCCUUCGGGUUGUAAGGCACUUUCAGCGAGGAGGCGUUACUCGCAGAAGAAUCACCGGCUAACUCCGUGCCAGCAGCCGCGGUAAUUC
Molecule: ribosomal RNA, 404 nt
Filed under: uncultured bacterium
Lineage: Bacteria
Description: partial 16S ribosomal RNA
Rfam family: Bacterial small subunit ribosomal RNA
Source: RNAcentral